GACGAACGCUGGCGGCGUGCUUAACACAUGCAAGUCGAACGGGUCUGCCCUGUUUUUUGCGGGGUGGGUCAGUGGCGAACGGGUGAGUAACACGUGAGUAACCUGCCCCUCACUUCUGGAUAACCGCUUGAAAGGGUGGCUAAUACGGGGUGUUCUGGCUGUGCCGCAUGGUGUGGCUGGGAAAGAUUCACUUUUGUGGUGUUUUGGUGGGGGAUGGGCUCGCGGCCUAUCAGCUUGUUGGUGGGGUGAUGGCCUGCCAAGGCUUUGACGGGUAGCCGGCCUGGGAGGGUGGGCGGUCACGCUGGGACUGAGAUACGGCCCAGACUCCUGCGGGAGGCAGCAGUGGGGGGUAUUGCACAAUGGGCGGAAGCCUGAUGCAGCGACGUCGCGUGAGGGAUGGAGGCCUUCGGGUUGUGAACCUCUUUCGCCGGUGAAGAAGGUCCUGCUCUUUGUGGUGGGGUUGACGGUAGCCGGGUUAUGAAGCGCCGGCUAACUACGUG
Molecule: ribosomal RNA, 500 nt
Filed under: uncultured bacterium
Lineage: Bacteria
Description: partial 16S ribosomal RNA
Rfam family: Bacterial small subunit ribosomal RNA
Source: RNAcentral